GACGAACGCUGGCGGCGUGCCUAAUACAUGCAAGUUGAGCGAUGAAGAUUGGUGCUUGCACCAAUUUGAAGAGCAGCGAACGGGUGAGUAACGCGUGGGGAAUCUGCCUUUGAGCGGGGGACAACAUUUGGAAACGAAUGCUAAUACCGCAUAAUAACUUUAAACAUAAGUUUUAAGUUUGAAAGAUGCAAUUGCAUCACUCAAAGAUGAUCCCGCGUUGUAUUAGCUAGUUGGUGAGGUAAAGGCUCACCAAGGCGAUGAUACAUAGCCGACCUGAGAGGGUGAUCGGCCACAUUGGGACUGAGACACGGCCCAAACUCCUACGGGAGGCAGCAGUAGGGAAUCUUCGGCAAUGGACGAAAGUCUGACCGAGCAACGCCGCGUGAGUGAAGAAGGUUUUCGGAUCGUAAAACUCUGUUGGUAGAGAAGAACGUUGGUGAGAGUGGAAAGCUCAUCAAGUGACGGUAACUACACAGAAAGGGACGGCUAACUACGUG
This 497-nucleotide ribosomal RNA is filed under the name uncultured bacterium. RNAcentral describes it as "partial 16S ribosomal RNA". It matches the Rfam family "Bacterial small subunit ribosomal RNA", at positions 28 to 507 of the family's 1533-position model. The record is from RNAcentral.